CGUGUAGGCGGUUCUUCAAGUCUGAUGUGAAAGCCCUGGGCUCAACCCAGGAAGUGCAUCGGAAACUGGCGAACUUGAGUACGGGAGAGGAAAGUGGAAUUUCGAGUGUAGGGGUGAAAUCCGUAGAUAUUCGAAGGAACACCAGUGGCGAAGGCGGCUUUCUGGACCGAUACUGACGCUGAGACGCGAAAGCGUGGGGAGCAAACAGGAUUAGAUACCCUGGUAGUCC
This 229-nucleotide ribosomal RNA is filed under the name uncultured bacterium. RNAcentral's name for it is "partial 16S ribosomal RNA". It matches the Rfam family "Bacterial small subunit ribosomal RNA", at positions 568 to 796 of the family's 1533-position model. The record is from RNAcentral.